AACGAACGCUGGCGGCAUGCCUAACACAUGCAAGUCGAACGAGACCUUCGGGUCUAGUGGCGCACGGGUGCGUAACGCGUGGGAACCUGCCCUUAGGUUCGGAAUAACUCCCCGAAAGGGGUGCUAAUACCGGAUAAUGUCUUCGGACCAAAGAUUUAUCGCCUUUGGAUGGGCCCGCGUUGGAUUAGCUAGUUGGUAGGGUAAAAGCCUACCAAGGCGACGAUCCAUAGCUGGUCUGAGAGGAUGAUCAGCCACUCUUGGACUGAGACACGGCCCAGACUCCUACGCGAGGCAGCAGUGGGGAAUAUUGGACCAUGGGCGAAGGCCUGAUCCAGCACUGCCGCGUGAGUGAUGAAGGCCUUAGGGUUGUAAAGCUCUUUUACCCGGGCUGAUAAUGACAGUACCGGGAGAAUAAGCUCCGGCUAACUCCGUG
RNAcentral lists this ribosomal RNA (433 nucleotides) under uncultured bacterium. Its description in RNAcentral is "partial 16S ribosomal RNA". It matches the Rfam family "Bacterial small subunit ribosomal RNA", at positions 29 to 507 of the family's 1533-position model. The record is from RNAcentral.